Molecule: ribosomal RNA, 279 nt
Filed under: uncultured bacterium
Lineage: Bacteria
Description: partial 16S ribosomal RNA
Rfam family: Bacterial small subunit ribosomal RNA
Source: RNAcentral
GAUGAACGCUAGCGGCAGGCUUAACACAUGCAAGUCGAGGGGUAUAGUUCUUCGGAAUUAGAGACCGGCGCACGGGUGCGUAACGCGUAUGCAAUCUACCUUUCACAGAGGGAUAGCCCCAGAGAAAUUUGGAUUAAUACCUCAUAGUAUAGCAGUUUCGCAUGAAACCACUAUUAAAGUCACAACGGUGAAAGAUGAGCAUGCGUCCCAUUAGCUAGUUGGUAAGGUAACGGCUUACCAAGGCAACGAUGGGUAGGGGUCCUGAGAGGGAGAUCCCCC